AGAGUUUGAUUCUGGCUCAGGAUGAACGCUGGCGGCGUGCCUAACACAUGCAAGUCGAACGAAGCACUUUCUUGAAUCUUCGGAGGACAGAGUUGUGACUGAGUGGCGGACGGGUGAGUAACGCGUGGGUAACCUGCCCUGUACAGGGGGAUAACAGUUAGAAAUGACUGCUAAUACCGCAUAAGCGCACGAGGUAGCAUUAUCUUGUGUGAAAAACUCCGGUGGUACAGGAUGGGCCCGCGUCUGAUUAGCUUGUUGGCGGGGUAAGAGCCCACCAAGGCGACGAUCAGUAGCCGGUCUGAGAGGAUGAACGGCCACAUUGGAACUGAGACACGGUCCAAACUCCUACGGGAGGCAGCAGUGGGGAAUAUUGCACAAUGGGGGGAACCCUGAUGCAGCAACGCCGCGUGGGUGAAGAAGUAUUUCGGUAUGUAAAGCCCUGUCAGCAGGGAAGAUAAUGACGGUACCUGACCAAGAAGCCCCGGCUAAAUACGUGCCAGCCGCCGC
RNAcentral lists this ribosomal RNA (507 nucleotides) under uncultured bacterium. RNAcentral's name for it is "bacterial SSU rRNA". It matches the Rfam family "Bacterial small subunit ribosomal RNA", at positions 8 to 518 of the family's 1533-position model. The record is from RNAcentral.